GAGUUUGAUCCUGGCUCAGAUUGAACGCUGGCGGCAGGCCUAACACAUGCAAGUCGAGCGGAAACGAGUUAACUGAACCUUCGGGGAACGUUAACGGCGUCGAGCGGCGGACGGGUGAGUAAUGCCUGGGAAAUUGCCCUGAUGUGGGGGAUAACCAUUGGAAACGAUGGCUAAUACCGCAUAAUAGCUUCGGCUCAAAGAGGGGGACCUUCGGGCCUCUCGCGUCAGGAUAUGCCCAGGUGGGAUUAGCUAGUUGGUGAGGUAAUGGCUCACCAAGGCGACGAUCCCUAGCUGGUCUGAGAGGAUGAUCAGCCACACUGGAACUGAGACACGGUCCAGACUCCUACGGGAGGCAGCAGUGGGGAAUAUUGCACAAUGGGCGCAAGCCUGAUGCAGCCAUGCCGCGUGUAUGAAGAAGGCCUUCGGGUUGUAAAGUACUUUCAGCAGUGAGGAAGGUGGGUAUGUUAAUAGCAUACUCAUUUGACGUUAGCUGCAGAAGAAGCACCGGCUAACUCCGUGCCAGCAGCCGCGGUAAUACGGAGGGUGCGAGCGUUAAUCGGAAUUACUGGGCGUAAAGCGCAUGCAGGUGGUUUGUUAAGUCAGAUGUGAAAAGCCCGGGGCUCAACCUCGGAAAUUGCAUUUGAAAACUGGGCAAACUA
This 659-nucleotide ribosomal RNA is filed under the name uncultured bacterium. RNAcentral's name for it is "bacterial SSU rRNA". It matches the Rfam family "Bacterial small subunit ribosomal RNA", at positions 9 to 643 of the family's 1533-position model. The record is from RNAcentral.